RNAcentral lists this ribosomal RNA (506 nucleotides) under uncultured bacterium. RNAcentral describes it as "partial 16S ribosomal RNA". It matches the Rfam family "Bacterial small subunit ribosomal RNA", at positions 30 to 523 of the family's 1533-position model. The record is from RNAcentral.
AUUGAACGCUGGCGGCAGGCCUAACACAUGCAAGUCGAACGGUAACAGGAAGCAGCUUGCUGCUUCGCUGACGAGUGGCGGACGGGUGAGUAAUGUCUGGGAAACUGCCUGAUGGAGGGGGAUAACUACUGGAAACGGUAGCUAAUACCGCAUAAUGUCGCAAGACCAAAGAGGGGGACGUUCGGGCCUCUUGCCAUCGGAUCUGCCCAGAUGGGAUUAGCUAGUAGGUGGGGUAACGGCUCACCUAGGCGACGAUCCCUAGCUGGUCUGAGAGGAUGACCAGCCACACUGGAACUGAGACACAGUCCAGACUCCUACGGGAGGCAGAAGUGGGGAAUAUUGCACAAUGGGCGCAAGCCUGAUGCAGCCAUGCCGCGUGUAUGAAGAAGGCCUUCGGGUUGUAAAGUACUUACAGCGGGGAGGAAGGCGAUAAGGUUAAUAACCUUGUCGAUUGACGUUACCCGCAGAAGAAUCACCGGCUAACUCCGUGCCAGCCGCCGCCGUAA